CUCCUACGGGGGGCAGCAGUGAGGAAUAUUGGUCAAUGGGCGGAAGCCUGAACCAGCCAAGUCGCGUGAGGGAAUAAGGCCCUACGGGUCGUAAACCUCUUUUGCCGGGGAGCAAGGGCCGGGACGCGUCCCGGCCCGGAGAGUACCCGGAGAAAAAGCAUCGGCUAACUCCGUGCCAGCAGCCGCGGUAAUACGGAGGAUGCGAGCGUUAUCCGGAUUUAUUGGGUUUAAAGGGUGCGCAGGCGGAGGUGCAAGUCAGUGGUCAAAUUGCGGGGCUCAACCCCGUACUGCCGUUGAAACUGCAU
Molecule: ribosomal RNA, 305 nt
Filed under: uncultured bacterium
Lineage: Bacteria
Description: bacterial SSU rRNA
Rfam family: Bacterial small subunit ribosomal RNA
Source: RNAcentral